RNAcentral lists this transfer RNA (72 nucleotides) under Camelus ferus (Wild Bactrian camel). It matches the Rfam family "tRNA". From Rfam's summary of the family: Transfer RNA (tRNA) molecules are approximately 80 nucleotides in length. Their secondary structure includes four short double-helical elements and three loops (D, anti-codon, and T loops). Further hydrogen bonds mediate the characteristic L-shaped molecular structure. tRNAs have two regions of fundamental functional importance: the anti-codon, which is responsible for specific mRNA codon recognition, and the 3' end, to which the tRNAs corresponding amino acid is attached (by aminoacyl-tRNA synthetases). tRNAs cope with the degeneracy of the genetic code in two manners: having more than one tRNA (with a specific anti-codon) for a particular amino acid; and 'wobble' base-pairing, i.e. permitting non-standard base-pairing at the 3rd anti-codon position. The record is from Rfam by way of RNAcentral. Lineage: Eukaryota; Metazoa; Chordata; Mammalia; Artiodactyla; Camelidae.
GAGGGCAGAGCUCAGUGGUAGAGCACAUGCUUAGUAUGCACGAGGUCCUGGGUUCAAUCCCCAGUCCCUCCA